Long non-coding RNA from Micropterus dolomieu (smallmouth bass), 3062 nucleotides. RefSeq lists it as uncharacterized. The transcript has 2 exons. Lineage: Eukaryota; Metazoa; Chordata; Actinopteri; Centrarchiformes; Centrarchidae. The record is from RefSeq and is a predicted model, not a curated record.
ACCACAGGUCAUUCGCUGGUCAGUCUCAACAGUGUUGUUUAUUCUGUUGUAUGUAUCCAUCCUUACUUAAAAGAAGUCAAGAAAUACAUUGUGGGUUGGGUGAGGAAGGAUAUUAAACAUUUGCACCUAUUUUUAGAGAUUUGCCACAACUGCUAGCUUUUCAGCACUUAGUGGUCAUCCAAGGAUAGUUCAAGUCAAAGGCAACUGGACUUUGUUGAAGUUACUUGAAGAUAUUUCGCCUCUCGUCCAAGAGACUUCUUCCGACUGACUGUUAGGGAAUCCCAGUCAUUUGACCACUGUGGGGUCGUCCCACUACGUCUGCAGAAGCUAAAGCGUAGCAUUUCAGUAUCAGCGCAGUAUGUGACAGACUUGUGACCUGUGUAAAUAUUAAAUGACCUCUAAAUGUGUCAUUUGAAUCUGAUGUCUUUACUUUGAUCAUAUCGUACCGAAUAAAAAAGAUCCAUUCACUAAGAAAUACAAGCCUGUCACUUAUCUGUGGAUGGUCCUCCAGGCAUGACUCUCCCAUUUCAUCCUGACCCAUUUUCAAAGUUGGCUUUGGAUGCAGCUUGUGGUCGACCCAGUUCACGUGGAUCUUAUAAAUGUGUGAUUUAUGUUGGACCCCAUGUAGACUUUGGCUGAGGUUUUGGGCUUCAUCAGGUCUUAUAGUGAGUACCUGAUUUUACUCCGUGCUGUCUGUAAAAAGCAAGAAAGAAGCAUACUACAAUGACAUUUUAACAGAUAAGCAUGUAAGCAUACUGUAACUCAAGAGUCUUGAGUGAAUUUUGAAUUUGAGUGAAUGUGUGAUGAACUGUUAUAUGAUUUUGAUCCCUAUUUAAACGUUUCACAGUGACAGCCAUAUGCUGUGAGUGCAGCUCUAGGAGAGUACCCCAAGCACGUCCAAAUGUGAGAUGAGUUGUUAGCUCCCCCCGUGAGAACCAGUCGUGUCUGUUGUGUAUCAGGGCCAUGGCUCAGAGGUUGGCUGGAAGUGCGAUGGGGACCCGCAGCCAGGAGAGAAGGUCCUGCAGGAUAUAAAGGAGAGGAGAGGGCAGGAGAGGCGGCUCCAAGUGAUCCAACAGCAGCUGGAGAUCCUGGGCCAGGGCCAAGAAAUGACUAAUGAGUCACCAGACCUUACUGAGGAGCAGUUACUUGGUCUGCUGGAUGAAUGUGAGCUGACAGAGAGCUGGAUCCAGGAUCUUGAAACGAAUGACACCACGAGACCCUAAAAAAGACUCGGAUGGGCCUAAUCCAUCUGACGCCCUGCUGUCAUAACGGCUAUCAAAAGAUGCAUUAUUGCUUGGAUGUCACUUUCAGACUAUUUGGGAGUUGUAAGAGAAAAACGAAUGAUUCUAAACUUAUUAAAUUGACUUAACUAACCUGUCUUAUAUAUAGUAACAUAAACUGAUUUUGAACAUGUUUCACAGUGUGUCUGUAAAGGAAAACCUAACUUUUGGUUAAUUGGUAAACUGAGAAUGAGAACUGUUAUUUUUGUCCUAAUUGGUCUCCAUGUUUUCAACAUGUGGCUGGAUUAUGUCCCAUUUUUUAAAUUUGUGUUUAUGGCUCUGCAUGAGGAAACAGAGCAGCAGGGCCACCCUUUGUAUUAACCUAAGUAUCAUAGAUGAGAACAGAAAAUUGGUGUCAUUAAAUCUAAUAACUGGGUACGGUGGCCGCAGAAUGUUCUAUUGCGCACAUAAACACUCAGCUGAUAGCACCGUGUCUGUGGGGUCAAGUCUGAACACUAUAUUGUAUGAACUUUAAGCCUUCUACCAUGAAAUGUCUCUGUUAAUAUUAGUAAAUGUGUGGUCAAGCAUCCAAAGUGGCUGUUAAUGAGGAUACAGGGAUGAUGUGUGCUCCACAGGGGUGAUAGUCAGAUCUAGUUCAGCUCCCAGGAUUUCUUUGAUUCUGAAAUUGGGCCCUGUUUGGAGCUGGACCUCCUUCCAGCUUAAUUUUCAUUUUAAAAUACAAGAUUCCAUUGGCAAAAGAUGGUCAGAUUUGAGAAUUAUUUUUUACUAUACUUUGGUUUGUUUGUAGAGAUGUUGCCUGUUUGGUCCCGCUUGCACAGUGUGAGUAGCCAGUCUGCACCUGGUUGACCUCAGCCCAGAGGUCCCACCUUUCCUCUCUCUGGCUCUGGACACCCACAGGCUUGUUCGUCUCACUCUUCACCUCACCCACACAUUCUGACCCCGUUUAAAGGGCAGGAAUUAUCUCACAUUCCUCUGGACUGAAAACUCGUCGGCCAGGUGAGCCUCCAAGGUCAAACUCCAAUGAACCUGCAGAACUAUACGUCGGGGAAUGUUAUCAGACAGCUCAGCACACGUCCAAAAAAGCACAUGCAAACACUGACUGAGCGCACUAGAUUAGCCUUUUUCAAAACUUAUAAUAAUUUCAUAGCUACAAAUGCAGUAUAUGUAGCAUUUAGUCCAUCUGACAAAUACCAUAUAUGUAAUUGAGACAAUAUGUUUUUAGUAGGGAAGAUAUACCACACGUUUGGGGUAAUGGAAACAGUGAGGUCAGUGUGGUAAGAAUGAGGUCACUUCUAAUGUAAAGAGACCUGCAGCAUACUGAGACUGUCUGGUUUUUCUGGCAGGACUCUCACUGGUGCCUUAGAUUACAGCUCUUUCUGGCCCUGUGAAAGAUCUCAAUUAGCAGACUGAUUUCUGUUUGCUGAUGAUAUACGGGUGCAGGGUCUUACAGCGUAACAGUCCGCAAGCUACAGACCUAGUCUAGGGAUACCUCAUCUACUUUGACAAGUUUUAUUGAACUAUAGAAUUUCAAUGCACAUUCUUACUGACAAGAGUGGACCACAGCCAUAAGGUAAGUUCAUUUGCCCAAAGAGAGUGAAUUUAUCACAGAAUGCAAACGUCCUUAUGUGUACUUCUCACAUGCAGUGUUGUCAUUUGAAUGUGUAAGGAGGUGCCUGUGUAAUGUGUUAUCAGAUCUGUAUGGAUAUGCUGUUUAAGUGGGUUAUACUUCAUAUUGAGUUUUCCUGCUGUUGACUCUCAAGGAUACUCCCUUUCUCCAAGGCUUCACUAGACUCAACUAAUAAAUUCCAGUCGCUUGACACA